CUGACCUCGAAUCAGGUGGGACUACCCGCUGAACUUAAGCAUAUCAAUAAGCGGAGGAAAAGAAACUAACAAGGAUUCCCCUAGUAACGGCGAGUGAAGUGGGAUGAGCUCAAAUUUAAAAUCUGGUAGUCUUUGGCUG
This 139-nucleotide ribosomal RNA is filed under the name Hydnum albidum. Its description in RNAcentral is "partial 28S ribosomal RNA". It matches the Rfam family "Eukaryotic large subunit ribosomal RNA", at positions 1 to 137 of the family's 3401-position model. The record is from RNAcentral. Lineage: Eukaryota; Fungi; Basidiomycota; Agaricomycetes; Cantharellales; Hydnaceae.